RNAcentral lists this ribosomal RNA (410 nucleotides) under uncultured bacterium. RNAcentral describes it as "bacterial SSU rRNA". It matches the Rfam family "Bacterial small subunit ribosomal RNA", at positions 9 to 417 of the family's 1533-position model. The record is from RNAcentral.
GAGUUUGAUCUUGGCUCAGAGUGAACGCUGGCGGCAGGCCUAACACAUGCAAGUCGAACGGCAGCACAGUCGUAGCAAUACGAUGGGUGGCGAGUGGCGGACGGGUGAGGAAUACAUCGGAAUCUACCUUGUCGUGGGGGGAUAACGUAGGGAAACUUACGCUAAUACCGCAUACGAACUAUGGUUGAAAGCGGCGGACCGCAAGGCGUCGCGCGAUUGGAUGAGCCGAUGUCCGAUUAGCUAGUUGGCGGGUAAGGCCACCAAGGCGACGAUCGGUAACUGGUCUGAGAGGAUGAUCAGCCACACUGGAACUGAGACACGGUCCAGACUCCUACGGGAGGCAGCAGUGGGGAAUAUUGGACAAUGGGCGCAAGCCUGAUCCAGCCAUGCCGCGUGUGUGAAGAAGGCCU